GACGAACGCUGGCGGCGUGGAUUAGGCAUGCAAGUCGAACGGUAGGAUACCUUCGGGUAUCUGAGAGUGGCAAACGGGUGAGUAACACGUAGGUGAUCUACCCUCAAGAUUGGGACAACCCAGGGAAACUUGGGCUAAUACCGGAUGAAAGCAGCAGUGAUGUUGUUUGAAAGGUGGCGUAAGCUGCCGUUUGGGGAUGAGCCUGCGCUCUAUUAGUUAGUUGGCGGGGUAAAGGCCCACCAAGGCGAUGAUAGAUAGGCGGCCUUAACGGGUGGUCGCCCACACUGGGAUUGAGAUACGGCCCAGACUCCUACGGGAGGCAGCAGUCGAGAAUAGUCUACAAUGGCCGAAAGGCUGAUAGUGCGACGCCGCGUGAACGAAGAAGCCCUUCGGGGUGUAAAGUUCUUUUAUAUGUGAGCAGUGCUUUCUAUGUGAACAGCAUGGGGAGAGAGAUAUUAGCAUAUGAAUAAGCAACGGCUAACUCCGUGCCAGC
This 493-nucleotide ribosomal RNA is filed under the name uncultured bacterium. Its description in RNAcentral is "bacterial SSU rRNA". It matches the Rfam family "Bacterial small subunit ribosomal RNA", at positions 28 to 512 of the family's 1533-position model. The record is from RNAcentral.